UACGAAGGGUGCAAGCGUUACUCGGAAUUACUGGGCGUAAAGCGUGCGUAGGUGGUUUGUUAAGUCUGCUGUGAAAGCCCCGGGCUCAACCUGGGAAUGGCAGUGGAUACUGGCAAGCUAGAGUGCGGUAGAGGGGUGUGGAAUUCCCGGUGUAGCGGUGAAAUGCGCAGAUAUCAGGAAGAACACCCGUGGCGAAGGCGGCUCUCUGGAACGCAACUGACGCUGAGACGCGAAAGCGUGGGGAGCAAACAGG
This 253-nucleotide ribosomal RNA is filed under the name uncultured bacterium. Its description in RNAcentral is "partial 16S ribosomal RNA". It matches the Rfam family "Bacterial small subunit ribosomal RNA", at positions 524 to 776 of the family's 1533-position model. The record is from RNAcentral.